This 1269-nucleotide long non-coding RNA is filed under the name Vitis vinifera (wine grape). RNAcentral's name for it is "long non-coding RNA (VVIN_LNC000454)". Lineage: Eukaryota; Viridiplantae; Streptophyta; Magnoliopsida; Vitales; Vitaceae. The record is from RNAcentral.
CUGGUUGUAAAGAGCCUUACAAGGGUGAAUUUGCAGCGGUUGAUAAUGGCCGGGUUUUGACCUUGUCAUCGACUGUUGGGGUGUUCAAGGAGGAAAGGAGGCUGUCUUUGUUGAAAUCUUCAUCACCAAGGUCGACAUUGAUGAAGAGCCAGACGGCAGAAUUUGAUCAUAAUGGAUGGUUGUUUGAAACAAAAGGCACUUAUGGAUAUGGAAAUGCUAUAUGGCCAGAGGAGGGUGGAAAUGCGAAUGGAGAAAAUGAAAAUGCAGGUGAAUCCAUUAAGCUUCUCAGCAAACCAUGGAGGCCCCUGACUCGCAAGCUGUCUAUAAGAGCUGCAGUCCUCAGCCCAUAUCGGUAUAAUCUCUUUUCUUAUUCUUUUUCUGCUGAAGAGGGUGUUAAUUUUCUCUCAUGUUUUUAUACUUGUUCAUAUGAAGAUUUACUAAUUGUUUCAAGUACCUUUUCUCUAAGUUGUCUGGGAAGAUGCCACAUAUUCAUACAUAACCUGGCCACAUUCUUUUGAUUAUUAAUGACAGACAAAAAAUAAAAAUUGAAAUAUAAAAUAUAGGGCAAGAUCAAUUAGCUGAUUUUUCUUGGUUUGUUUAUAGGCUGAUUUGAAACUGCCAUAAGAAACAAGGUCCUGGAUGUUCUUUGGCACCCAAAAAAUUACCCUUGUGCAGAAAGAACCACUUGGCUUGUUGCAAUGUUUUAUAUUUUUUUGAUUAACCUGUAUGGAAUGUGAUUUGUUCCAAAAAGAAGUUUAUUUUAAUUAUUUCUUCAUUUUUCAAACAGUAUGGAUGAUUGGUUCAACCAAGUUUAGAUGCGUAUACAUUGUUUCAUUUGAUGGGCAAUCAUUUACUGGCUUUUUAGCAUUAAUUCAAAACAGUUAUGAAUGCUGAGACUGAAUAAUAAAACUAAAGAAUAGCGGUUGCUGUCAUCAUCUCUGAAUUUUGUUGCUUGUGUGUUUCCAGGCUUCUAGUCUUAGUCCGAAUGGCUUUUCUUGGAUUAUUUCUGACAUGGAGGAUUAGAAACCCUAAUGAGGAUGCAAUGUGGCUAUGGGGUAUGUCUGUGGUGUGUGAGAUCUGGUUCGCCUUUUCUUGGUUACUCGAUCAGCUUCCUAAGCUCUGCCCUAUUAAUCGUUCUGCUGACCUCAAUGUCUUAAAAGAGAAAUUUGAAACACCUAAUCCCAGAAACCCCACAGGAAAAUCUGAUCUUCCUGGAAUAGAUAUGUUUGUAUCAACUGCAGAUCCAGAGAAAGAACCCCCUCUUGUCAC